Molecule: ribosomal RNA, 247 nt
Filed under: uncultured Bacillota bacterium
Lineage: Bacteria; Bacillati; Bacillota
Description: uncultured Firmicutes bacterium partial 16S ribosomal RNA
Rfam family: Bacterial small subunit ribosomal RNA
Source: RNAcentral
CACGCCGUAAACGAUGGAUACUAGGUGUAGGGGGUAUCGACCCCCCCUGUGCCGGAGUUAACGCAAUAAGUAUCCCGCCUGGGGAGUACGUGCGCAAGCAUGAAACUCAAAGGAAUUGACGGGGACCCGCACAAGCAGCGGAGCAUGUGGUUUAAUUCGAAGCAACGCGAAGAACCUUACCAGGGCUUGACAUGCCGAUGACAGGUAUAGAGAUAUACCCUCCCUUCGGGGCAUUGGACACAGGUGG